Molecule: long non-coding RNA, 789 nt
Organism: Cygnus olor (mute swan)
Lineage: Eukaryota; Metazoa; Chordata; Aves; Anseriformes; Anatidae
Exons: 2
Source: RefSeq, a predicted model, not a curated record
GCGGCGGGGCCGGGCCGCGGUGGGUGCCCGGGUCCCGGUGUGCCCCCCCCCGGGCCGUGGGGGGACCCGCAGCCGCCGGGCCCCGGGGCUGGGGGGUGCCGGAGAGGUGGCAGAGAGGGGGUGCGAUCCCCCCCGGGCAGCAGCGUGUGCCCGUGGUCGCUACCUCCAGAGUUGCGGCUUGCUGCGCCUCGUUACUUCAUUACGGUCGGAGCGACUGCUGGGGGUGGAGGCGGGUCCCUGCCCCCAUGGGAAGGGUGCCGUGGUCAGGAAGAACAGGUCCCAAAUGCCCCGCAGUUGUAGCACGCGGAACAUGGAGUGAACACAAACAGCCGCCUGCUCGACAGCCGCUCCCGAAGGUACCCGCGCGCUCGGCACAGCGGCGCGCAGCUGCCAUCAGGCAGACUUUGCAUGGGGUUUUGCAUCCUCCCCGAACGCCUGCGUCCCCCAGGCCAACGCCCGGUGCGACGGGCAGAGCAGGGCUGCCGCCGCACGUACGGAGCGUGUGUCUCGUUUGCUUCUCUGCCCUGGCGAGUUGAGCAAACGCACGCCAACGUGGUGCGACAGGACCAUGACGUGCGGCAGGGCAGGGGAUGCUGAGGGCACGUUGCAUCCCCCCAGCCUCCCAUCGCCUUUUCGGGUUGAUUUUCUCUCUGUGAAGAAAAACGUGACUUACUCAUCAGAGACAAAAAGCAGCAUAGCAAGGGGAUGACCCGGGAGGCGUGUGUAAACAGUCAUUUGCGUUUUACGUGGUUUGGGAAAUUGAGACCUGAAAUAAAGAGUUCCCCUUUA